GAUACUUGGUGUGAAUUUGCAGAAUCCGGGGAACCAUCGAGUCUUUGAACGCAAGUUGCGCCUAUGCGAUACUUGGUGUGAAUUGCAGAAUUCAGUGAAUCAUCGAAUCUUUGAACGCACAUUGCGCCCAUUAGUAUUCUAGUGGGGAUGCCUCUUCGAGCGUCAUUUCGACCCCUAAGCCCCUGUUGCUUAGUGUUGGGAAUCUACGGCGUAGUUCCUUAAAGUUAGUGGCGGAGUUAGGAUUCACUCUCAGCGUAGUAAUAUCUCUCGCUCGUGUGGUGGCCCUGUCUGCUAGCCGUUAAAACCACCUAUAUUUUUUAGUGGUUGACCUCGAAUUAGGUAAGAAUACCCGCUGAACUUAAGCAUAUCAAUAAGCGGAGGAAGACCGCGACCCCAGGGCAGGGGGGACUAACCCCUGAGUUUAAGCAUAUCAAUUAGCGGAAGAA
Molecule: ribosomal RNA, 446 nt
Filed under: Hypoxylon sp. BAB-4066
Lineage: Eukaryota; Fungi; Ascomycota; Sordariomycetes; Xylariales; Hypoxylaceae
Description: eukaryotic LSU rRNA
Rfam family: 5.8S ribosomal RNA (bases 46-165)
Source: RNAcentral